GAUCGCAAGACCUUGCGCUUUUGGAGCGGCCGAUGUCUGAUUAGCUAGUUGGUGAGGUAAAGGCUUACCAAGGCGUCGAUCAGUAGCUGGUCUGAGAGGACGACCAGCCACACUGGGACUGAGACACGGCCCAGACUCCUACGGGAGGCAGCAGUGGGGAAUUUUGGACAAUGGGGGAAACCCUGAUCCAGCCAUGCCGCGUGAGUGAAGAAGGCCUUCGGGUUGUAAAGCUCUUUCAGCCGGAACGAAACGGUCACGGUUAAUACCCGUGACUACUGACGGUACCGGAAGAAGAAGCACCGGCUAACUACGUGCCAGCAGCCGCGGUAAUACGUAGGGUGCGAGCGUUAAUCGGAAUUACUGGGCGUAAAGCGUGCGCAGGCGGUUUUGAAGUCAGAUUAAA
Molecule: ribosomal RNA, 403 nt
Filed under: uncultured Nitrosospira sp.
Lineage: Bacteria; Pseudomonadati; Pseudomonadota; Betaproteobacteria; Nitrosomonadales; Nitrosomonadaceae
Description: bacterial SSU rRNA
Rfam family: Bacterial small subunit ribosomal RNA
Source: RNAcentral